UCCGGUUUGUCACCGGCAGUCUCCUUUGAGUUCCCAGCAUUACCUGAUGGCAACAAAGGACAAGGGUUGCGCUCGUUACGGGACUUAACCCAACAUCUCACGACACGAGCUGACGACAGCCAUGCAGCACCUGUCUCUAGGUUCCCGAAGGCACCAAGGCAUCUCUGCCAAGUUCCUAGGAUGUCAAGACCUGGUAAGGUUCUUCGCGUUGCAUCGAAUUAAACCACAUGCUCCACCGCUUGUGCGGGCCCCCGUCAAUUCAUUUGAGUUUUAACCUUGCGGCCGUACUCCCCAGGCGGUCUACUUAGUGCGUUAGCUGCGCCACUAAAGAAACAAGUUCUCCAACGGCUAGUAGACAUCGUUUACGGCGUGGACUAC
RNAcentral lists this unclassified non-coding RNA (378 nucleotides) under uncultured Cellvibrionales bacterium. RNAcentral describes it as "contains 16S-23S intergenic spacer region". The record is from RNAcentral. Lineage: Bacteria; Pseudomonadati; Pseudomonadota; Gammaproteobacteria; Cellvibrionales.